This 1018-nucleotide ribosomal RNA is filed under the name uncultured bacterium. RNAcentral's name for it is "bacterial SSU rRNA". It matches the Rfam family "Bacterial small subunit ribosomal RNA", at positions 357 to 1376 of the family's 1533-position model. The record is from RNAcentral.
AGGAAUAUUGGUCAAUGGGCGAGAGCCUGAACCAGCCAAGUAGCGUGCAGGAUGACGGCCCUAUGGGUUGUAAACUGCUUUUAUAAGGGAAUAAAGUGAGAGUCGUGACUCUUUUUGCAUGUACCUUAUGAAUAAGGACCGGCUAAUUCCGUGCCAGCAGCCGCGGUAAUACGGAAGGUCCGGGCGUUAUCCGGAUUUAUUGGGUUUAAAGGGAGCGUAGGCCGGAGAUUAAGCGUGUUGUGAAAUGUAGACGCUCAACGUCUGCACUGCAGCGCGAACUGGUUUCCUUGAGUACGCACAAAGUGGGCGGAAUUCGUGGUGUAGCGGUGAAAUGCUUAGAUAUCACGAAGAACUCCGAUUGCGAAGGCAGCUCACUGGAGCGCAACUGACGCUGAAGCUCGAAAGUGCGGGUAUCGAGCAGGAUUAGAUACCCUGGUAGUCCGCACGGUAAACGAUGGAUGCCCGCUGUUGGUCUGAACAGGUCAGCGGCCAAGCGAAAGCAUUAAGCAUCCCACCUGGGGAGUACGCCGGCAACGGUGAAACUCAAAGGAAUUGACGGGGGCCCGCACAAGCGGAGGAACAUGUGGUUUAAUUCGAUGAUACGCGAGGAACCUUACCCGGGCUUGAAUUGCAGAGGAAGGAUUUGGAGACAAUGACGCCCUUCGGGGCCUCUGUGAAGGUGCUGCAUGGUUGUCGUCAGCUCGUGCCGUGAGGUGUCGGCUUAAGUGCCAUAACGAGCGCAACCCCUCUCCUUAGUUGCCAUCAGGUCAUGCUGGGCACUCUGGGGACACUGCCACCGUAAGGUGUGAGGAAGGUGGGGAUGACGUCAAAUCAGCACGGCCCUUACGUCCGGGGCUACACACGUGUUACAAUGGCAGGUACAGAGAGACGGUCCCUUGCAAAAUGGAUCAAAUCCUUAAAGCCUGUCUCAGUUCGGACUGGGGUCUGCAACCCGACCCCACGAAGCUGGAUUCGCUAGUAAUCGCGCAUCAGCCAUGGCGCGGUGAAUACGUUCCCG